This 229-nucleotide long non-coding RNA is filed under the name Nicotiana benthamiana. Its description in RNAcentral is "long non-coding RNA (NBEN_LNC035830)". The record is from RNAcentral. Lineage: Eukaryota; Viridiplantae; Streptophyta; Magnoliopsida; Solanales; Solanaceae.
UUUUUUUUGUGCUAUUUCAUCAUAGGCUGUCGGAACUUGCUUCUUAGCGCUACGUGGGAAGAGAAUUUAUCUAUUCAGCCCCCCCGACUUCAAUUACAAACUCUUACUUCUCGGUCUAACUUGGACUAAUCCCUUAGCAGGCAAGAAAUUCCUACUAACCAGACAGAAAGUAAGUUUCCACUCACUACCAAAGCGCUGUCGCACCUCUACUAUUUUCGGCGUAACGAGG